GAUGAACGCUGGCGGCGUGCCUAAUACAUGCAAGUCGAGCGAACGGACGAGAAGCUUGCUUCUCUGAUGUUGGCGGCGGACGGGUGAGUAACACGUGGAUAACCUACCUAUAAGACUGGGAUAACUUCGGGAAACCGGAGCUAAUACCGGAUAAUAUUUUGAACCGCAUGGUUCAAAAGUGAAAGACGGUCUUGCUGUCACUUAUAGAUGGAUCCGCUCUGCAUUAGCUAGUUGGUAAGGUAACGGCUUACCAAGGCAACGAUGCAUAGCCGACCUGAGAGGGUGAUCGGCCACACUGGAACUGAGACACGGUCCAGACUCCUACGGGAGGCAGCAGUAGGGAAUCUUCCGCAAUGGGCGAAAGCCUGACGGAGCAACGCCGCGUGAGUGAUGAAGGUCUUCGGAUCGUAAAACUCUGUUAUUAGGGAAGAACAUAUGUGUAAGUAACUGUGCACAUCUUGACGGUACCUAAUCAGAAAGCCACGGCUAACUACGUG
Molecule: ribosomal RNA, 497 nt
Filed under: uncultured bacterium
Lineage: Bacteria
Description: partial 16S ribosomal RNA
Rfam family: Bacterial small subunit ribosomal RNA
Source: RNAcentral